Alligator mississippiensis (American alligator) is the source of this 937-nucleotide long non-coding RNA. RefSeq lists it as uncharacterized. The record is from RefSeq and is a predicted model, not a curated record. The transcript is spliced from 3 exons. NCBI's taxonomy places the organism in Eukaryota, Metazoa, Chordata, Crocodylia, Alligatoridae.
CAGAAGAGGGAGAUCCAGGGCACAGAUCUGGUUAAACAUUUCGCCCUCCAGAAAGGGAAAGGGCUUGAAGGGAAACUGAGGGAAGUUACCCAUGAAAGCGGUGCAAUGCUGAGAGACUGGGAGGAUCCACAGCGUCAAAGGGCCGACAGUAGGCAGCAAGUAAUACAGUGUAUUUCCCCCAGCUCAGAGCUGGGAGCCAGCGGGAGCCCCCCGGCCUACAGAAAUAGAGGUUACGUCACCGCAGGGAACACGUGUGAGAUAGACCUGGGCCGUAUGUUCUUGUGCACACACAAUAAAUGGUGUUCGUUAGGAGCUGUUGUUGGAGUCCCUUUCCUCAUCCGCUGUCACAGUGCCCUGGAGGGAAACCCUUGCAGGGUCCAGUCCUGGUUGGAGUCCCUCCUUGUGAGUACCAUCAGGUCGUGUGCAAGCCAAGCCCUGUCUCACACCCGGUGGCUGAUGCAGCGGUGCGGCCGGACACGGCCGAGACGUGCAGGUGGGCAGACCCGGAGAACGUGACACGCAUCACAAUGGCCCCUUCUAGAACCGGCUCGUCGCCGUGCGGCUCUUGGAGACGCACACAGCAGGUCAACUGCUCCCGACCCGACACUGGUUGUUGUCAGGUCACACCCGUGUCCUUGCGAUCACCCUGACCGCAAGGCUACAGAAAACUGGAGAGCUUCUUAUCCCAGGAUACAACCAUGGGAUCCUUUGGAGACACAGGAAGGGAAGGAGAAGAUGCUAUUGAGGCUAACUUGGCCCUGGUUGAGCACUGAGGAAAAGGGCUGAGGGCUCAACCCAACAAGAACAGUUUUUCUGUUGGCUUUCUUGGUAAUUGAACUGACCCCUAAAUUCUGCUUCCAUUUUCAUUGGUUGCCGUCCAUUGACUCUGGGGGAUUUACAUAAGCAAAACCUGAUUAUUAAAGUGUUUUGUGUUGGA